This 253-nucleotide ribosomal RNA is filed under the name uncultured bacterium. Its description in RNAcentral is "partial 16S ribosomal RNA". It matches the Rfam family "Bacterial small subunit ribosomal RNA", at positions 524 to 776 of the family's 1533-position model. The record is from RNAcentral.
UACGUAGGGGGCGAGCGUUGUCCGGAUUCAUUGGGCGUAAAGCGCGCGCAGGCGGUUGCGUGAGCCCGGCGUGAAAGCCCCCCGCUCAACUGGGGGAGGCCGUCGGAGACCGCGCGACUUGAGGCCGGUAGGGGAGAGCGGAAUUCCCGGUGUAGUGGUGGAAUGCGUAGAUAUCGGGAGGAGCACCAGUGGCGAAGGCGGCUCACUGGCCCGGUACUGACGCUGAGGUGCGAAAGCGUGGGGAGCAAACAGG